GAUGAACGCUGGCGGCGUGCCUAAUACAUGCCAGUCGAGCGAACAGAUAAGGAGCUUGCUCCUUUGACGUUAGCGGCGGACGGGUGAGUAACACGUGGGUAACCUACCUAUAAGACUGGAAUAACUCCGGGAAACCGGGGCUAAUUCCGGAUAACAUUUAGAACCGCAUGGUUCUAAAGUGAAAGAUGGUUUUGCUAUCACUUAUAGAUGGACCCGCGCCGUAUUAGCUAGUUGGUAAGGUAACGGCUUACCAAGGCAACGAUACGUAGCCGACCUGAGAGGGUGAUCGGCCGCACUGGAACUGAGACACGGUCCAGACUCCUACGGGAGGCAGCAGUAGGGAAUCUUCCGCAAUGGGAGAAAGCCUGACGGAGCAACGCCGCGUGAGUGAUGAAGGUCUUCGGAUCGUAAAACUCUGUUAUUAGGGAAGAACAAAUGUGUAAGUAACUGUGCACGUCUUGACGGUACCUAAUCAGAAAGCCACGGCUAACUACGUG
Molecule: ribosomal RNA, 497 nt
Filed under: uncultured bacterium
Lineage: Bacteria
Description: partial 16S ribosomal RNA
Rfam family: Bacterial small subunit ribosomal RNA
Source: RNAcentral